GAAAAGAACCCCGGGAGGGGAGUGAAUAGAACCUGAAACUAUGUGCUUACAAGCGGUCAGAGCCCGCAAGGGUGAUGGCGUGCCUUUUGGUAGAAUGAUCCUGCGAGUUACGUUCAGUGGCGAGGUUAAGUAUAACGGAGCCGAAGGGAAACCGAGUCUGAAUAGGGCGAUUUUAGUCGCUGGGCGUAGACGCGAAACCUGGUGAUCUAAGCCUGUCCAGGGUGAAGCUGUGGUAAGACACAGUGGAGGCCCCGAACUCACCGCGUCGACGCGGCCGGGUCGUGGGAGGCAAG
Molecule: ribosomal RNA, 293 nt
Filed under: uncultured Propionigenium sp.
Lineage: Bacteria; Fusobacteriati; Fusobacteriota; Fusobacteriia; Fusobacteriales; Fusobacteriaceae
Description: partial 23S ribosomal RNA
Rfam family: Bacterial large subunit ribosomal RNA
Source: RNAcentral